This 465-nucleotide ribosomal RNA is filed under the name Veillonella dispar. RNAcentral's name for it is "bacterial SSU rRNA". It matches the Rfam family "Bacterial small subunit ribosomal RNA", at positions 28 to 469 of the family's 1533-position model. The record is from RNAcentral. Lineage: Bacteria; Bacillati; Bacillota; Negativicutes; Veillonellales; Veillonellaceae.
GACGAACGCUGGCGGCGUGCUUAACACGUGCAAGUCGAACGAAGAGCGAUGGAAGCUUGCUUCUAUCAAUCUUAGUGGCGAACGGGUGAGUAACGCGUAAUCAACCUGCCCUUCAGAGGGGGACAACAGUUGGAAACGACUGCUAAUACCGCAUACGAUCUAAUCUCGGCAUCGAGGAAAGAUGAAAGGUGGCCUCUAUUUAUAAGCUAUCACUGAAGGAGGGGAUUGCGUCUGAUUAGCUAGUUGGAGGGGUAACGGCCCACCAAGGCGAUGAUCAGUAGCCGGUCUGAGAGGAUGAACGGCCACAUUGGGACUGAGACACGGCCCAGACUCCUACGGGAGGCAGCAGUGGGGAAUCUUCCGCAAUGGACGAAAGUCUGACGGAGCAACGCCGCGUGAGUGAUGACGGCCUUCGGGUUGUAAAGCUCUGUUAAUCGGGACGAAAGGCCUUCUUGCGAACAGUUA